Molecule: ribosomal RNA, 255 nt
Filed under: uncultured bacterium
Lineage: Bacteria
Description: partial 16S ribosomal RNA
Rfam family: Bacterial small subunit ribosomal RNA
Source: RNAcentral
CGGAGGGUGCAAGCGUUAAUCGGAAUUACUGGGCGUAAAGCGCACGCAGGCGGUUUGUUAAGUCAGAUGUGAAAUCCCCGGGCUCAACCUGGGAACUGCAUUUGAAAACUGGCAAGCUUGAGUCUUGUAGAGGGGGGUAGAAUUCCAGGUGUAGCGGUGAAAUGCGUAGAGAUCUGGAGGAAUACCGGUGGCGAAGGCGGCCCCCUGGACAAAGACUGACGCUCAGGUGCGAAAGCGUGGGGAGCAAACAGGAUU